This 497-nucleotide ribosomal RNA is filed under the name uncultured bacterium. Its description in RNAcentral is "partial 16S ribosomal RNA". It matches the Rfam family "Bacterial small subunit ribosomal RNA", at positions 28 to 507 of the family's 1533-position model. The record is from RNAcentral.
GAUGAACGCUGGCGGCGUGCCUAAUACAUGCAAGUCGAGCGAACGGACGAGAAGCUUGCUUCUCUGAUGUUAGCGGCGGACGGGUGAGUAACACGUGGAUAACCUACCUAUAAGACUGGGAUAACUUCGGGAAACCGGAGCUAAUACCGGAUAAUAUUUUGAACCGCAUGGUUCAAAAGUGAAAGACGGUCUUGCUGUCACUUAUAGAUGGAUCCGCGCUGCAUUAGCUAGUUGGUAAGGUAACGGCUUACCAAGGCAACGAUGCAUAGCCGACCUGAGAGAGUGAUCGGCCACACUGGAACUGGAACACCGUCCAGACGCCUACGGUAGGCAGCAGUAGGGAAUCUUCCGCAAUGGGCGAAAGCCUGACGGAGCAACGCCGCGUGAGUGAUGAAGGUCUUCGGAUCGUAAAACUCUGUUAUUAGGGAAGAACAUAUGUGUAAGUAACUGUGCACAUCUUGACGGUACCUAAUCAGAAAGCCACGGCUAACUACGUG